AAAAAACAGGCCCAGGACCAACGGACAACCGCCCGGCGGCAGGGAGCCACCGCCCGGCGGUUUGCCUCUUAUCGCAUAUCUGCCCAGCGUCUACACCAGGUGCCUCCUCCUCGCACUGGACCACCCAACGGUGAAUUUUGCCGCCGGGCGGUUCCUAGACUUUUCUUUUCUUCAGUUUUCUUCCUCUGUCUUGAGUCUAAGACCUCCA
RNAcentral lists this long non-coding RNA (208 nucleotides) under Vigna radiata. Its description in RNAcentral is "long non-coding RNA (VRAD_LNC012778)". Lineage: Eukaryota; Viridiplantae; Streptophyta; Magnoliopsida; Fabales; Fabaceae. The record is from RNAcentral.